Long non-coding RNA from Phyllostomus discolor (pale spear-nosed bat), 2106 nucleotides. RefSeq lists it as uncharacterized. Lineage: Eukaryota; Metazoa; Chordata; Mammalia; Chiroptera; Phyllostomidae. The record is from RefSeq and is a predicted model, not a curated record. The transcript is spliced from 2 exons.
UUGUCAAAAAAAUUCAUUGAACUUUAUAUGUAUCACACACAAAAUGCUGUGUGCACAUGAUACCUCAAUUCAAAGGGUAAGCGUAUUAAUAAGAAUAGUAACAAAAUCUGCAAAAAAGUAGCAAAUUAAAUAAAAUGAUGUGAUAGUAGGAGCAUGGAUAUCUUUUUUGACCAGCUUGUCCCAGGAGUAUCUUACUUUGAAUGACUCCAAGAGAUCUGGGUUAUAGUUGAGCUUUAACCAAUGUGUUUUGAGACAAAUCUAAAGAAUAACAAAUAAUUUUCAUAAAGGAUCUAAUUAGUUGUCUUUCUUAAUUAUUGAUUGAUCCAUCUUGUAGAUUAGGGACCCAUCUCACCUGGUGAGAUUAGCAUAUGAGAAUAAUAACUUUGCAGUGAGGGACCAAGAAUGACUAAAGUAGGGACAUACUGGAGUCAUGGAAACUGGUUAGGAGAUACAGGGAUCUCAGGGAUACAGGUAAAAGUCUGAGAAGGCCAGAACUAAGUUGGUGGUAGAAGAAAGAGAGAAGAGGAUUACAUGAGGGUUGAAAGGGGAGAAAUGGCAGGACCUCAAACCUGGCUGGUUGUGGGGUAGAGGGAGAGGGUUAAUCUUCAAUGGCCUGACUUAGGCAACUGGAUGAACUGUCAUGUAAAAAAAUAUGGAAACAGUGGAACAGUAGAUUUGGUGAAGAUAAUGAAUGUACCUCCUUCUUGAGCUCCAUAGCCCAUGGGAUUGAGCAUAGUCAGGAACAAAUGUGUGUGCUUCAGGUGGGGCGUGGUGGUGAGAGGUUGGGAGACAAUUCUUUUCAGCAGUGACAAUUAUUGAGCCUCAAAAGAAGAGAAAAAUCUCCACAUGAAUGAUGAAUUCUGGAAGGAGAUUUGGCUAAAUUUAAAAGAUAACAUUUUUGUUUUUGCCAAGAAGAAACUGCAGAAGACAGGCAUUGGUCCUGACUAAGAUUAAAGCACCAGAUGACCAGUGAAGGGCGGCUGGUAGAGCUGGCAAAGAGUAGCAGUCAGGAUGUCUUAGCCUGAUGAAUUACCACGUCAUGGGAAAGAAAUGCACCUCACUCAGAAAUACACAGAGGGUCUCUUUCUGGAAGUUCUAUGCCUCAGCACUCCACAGAGGCUGGGUGCAACCAGGGUGGAGCUGGCUAGAGCGGCAGCAGUGGAAGAAAAUGGAGACAACAAUCUUGGCAUCACACCUUGUUUCUGCCAUUAGCUGGUGUUAUGAUCCUUGACAAGUCAUUUAAAUUUGUGUUACCUUAAUCCUCUGUGAAAAAAGGGUAAAAUGUGAAGCAAUUGUAAUUUUGACAGCCUGUACAGUCAAGGAGAAAAUGCACCAGAUUUUGAGGGGUGUGGAGGGCUCCAUGGAGGAGGUGGUAUAAAAACUAAAAUCAUUUUUCAGAUCUUAGUUCCUUUAAGUGUUCGGUUAGCUGAAGGAAAGGUAAGAAAGCAGCGUGAGGGGAACAGGUCCAAGUAGAGGAAACAGUAUGAAUAAAAGCUUUAAGCCAAGAAAUAGAAUAAUACCUUCAGGAAGACUAUUAAGUAAUAGGAUAUGACUUCUAGAGCAUAAAUAGGUGAAAGAAAUGUACUUCUUCAGUCCCUGCAAUCAUCCUUUAAAGUAGAUAUUAAUGUUCACAUAUAAAAGAAGAAACUGAAAUUCAGAACGGUUACUUGGUUGAAAUCACAUAUCUUAUAAGUAGACAAACUAGUGGGGUCUGUGUGCUCCAAAUCAUGUUUUAACUAUUGAUUUUAUCAAUUCCCUACAUUAAUAUAUUUAGAUGGGUGAGUGGGUACAGUAGUAAUGAAAGCAUACUUUUCUCAAUGUAUCUGGCAGGUUACAUUUUGAAAGCCUCAACCUAAACAAACAAACAAAAAUUACAGUGAAAAACAAAUGUAAUAUGUGUGGGUUAUUAGCUAUAUAAUGUUUGAACCAGAAACAUAAGGAAGCAAAAUUUGCUUGUCAAAACAGUCAAAGAGAUCAAUGAGUCACUAACCCUUGUUUUGUCUUAGUAAUUUAUGAUAUCCUUUAGAAACUGUCUCAUAUUAAAGCAUAAUUAACACAGAUAAGAUUUGGUAGCCCUGAUUAUUUAUUACAAAUGUACAAAAAAAA